CACGAUUUGUUGCUCUAUAUAUACUCUCUCCAGUAAUAUAUAAGCUUUAACUGCAGAUUUGAACAGUUUAUACAACUGUAAAAUAUUUUGGACACACUCAAGAAUGAUGCAGUUUAUGUUUGCGGCUUUGGUC
This is a long non-coding RNA of Dendronephthya gigantea, 133 nucleotides long. RefSeq lists it as uncharacterized. The record is from RefSeq and is a predicted model, not a curated record. The transcript is spliced from 3 exons. Lineage: Eukaryota; Metazoa; Cnidaria; Anthozoa; Malacalcyonacea; Nephtheidae.